GCAAGUCGAACGAGAACUAUCCUAGCUUGCUAGGGCGUAAGCUAAGUGGCGCACGGGUGAGUAAAACAUAGUUAAUCUGCCUUUUGGAGAGGGAUAACAGUUGGAAACGACUGCUAAUACCUCAUACUCCUUUAUAACAUAAGUUGUGAAGGGAAAUGAGUUCUGCCAAGAGAUGAGACUAUGACCUAUAAGCUAGUUGGUGAGGUAAGAGCUCACCAAGGCUAUGACGGGUAACUGGUUUGAGAGGAUGAUC
Molecule: ribosomal RNA, 253 nt
Filed under: uncultured bacterium
Lineage: Bacteria
Description: partial 16S ribosomal RNA
Rfam family: Bacterial small subunit ribosomal RNA
Source: RNAcentral